UGAGGCAGGAGAAUCGCUUGAACCCAGGGGGUGGAGGUUGCAGUGAGCCGAGAUUGCGCCACUGCACUCCAGCCUGGGCGACAGAGCAAGACUCUGUCUU
This 100-nucleotide microRNA precursor is filed under the name Mandrillus leucophaeus (drill). Its description in RNAcentral is "miRNA (ENSMLEG00000011532.1)". The record is from RNAcentral. Lineage: Eukaryota; Metazoa; Chordata; Mammalia; Primates; Cercopithecidae.